This 462-nucleotide ribosomal RNA is filed under the name Crinia parinsignifera. RNAcentral's name for it is "partial 16S ribosomal RNA". It matches the Rfam family "Bacterial large subunit ribosomal RNA", at positions 1916 to 2560 of the family's 2925-position model. The record is from RNAcentral. Lineage: Eukaryota; Metazoa; Chordata; Amphibia; Anura; Myobatrachidae.
GACUCUGUUCAACGGCCGCGGUAUUCUGACCGUGCGAAGGUAGCGUAAUCACUUGUUCUUUAAAUAAGGACUAGUAUGAAUGGCACCACGAGGGUUGCACUGUCUCCCAUCUCUAAUCAGUGAAAUUAAUCUUCCCGUGAAGAAGCGGGAAUAAACAUAUAAGACGAGAAGACCCCAUGGAGCUUUAAACAAAAGGCACAUGCAAACCAAAUCAAGCAUUCUGUCCCCAAGUUUUCGGUUGGGGCGACCACGGAGAACAACACAACCUCCACGCUGAACGAUUAUAUCUUAGCCGUAAUUUACAAAUUUAAGCAUCAGCACCCUGACACCCAUUGACCCAAUACAAUUGAUCAACGAACCAAUGUUACCCUGGGGAUAACAGCGCAAUGUACCUCGAGAGCUCAUAUCGACAGGUGGGUUUACGACCUCGAUGUUGGAUCAGGGUGUCCCAGUGGUGCAGCA